CCGCACUCGCACCGCCCCCUUCCCCUUCCUCUCGCCUCACCUCUCUCUCCUUCCAAAUCUCCUCCCGGCCUCGCCUCUUCCUUCCUUCUCCUCCGGCGCCUCCUUCCCAUUGGCUCCUUCUUUCCCCUCCUCCGCCGGUCCUCCUUCUCCUACGUCACCCGGAGGGGUGCAGCUGCCGCUUGCGCUGUAGCUCCCCCUACGAGCUCGCGCGCCUGAUCCGACGGUAGGAAGGGGCCGCGGCAGCCGCCGCACAACCUGGCGACCAGGAGCUCCCCGGCGUGGUCCCCUGGAUGGAGGGAUGCUUCCUCCAUCACUGCCUUCUCCGUGUCGAUGCCAUCAGUAGCGGCGACGGUCAGGCUGAUGCGACGCGGCUGCAAGCUCGUCGUGAGAGCAGCGGCAAUGACAAGCUCACCACUCCUUCCUGCUGCGCCUGCUAGACCUCCAGGACAACUUUGAACAACUUGUGUGUCCCUCUCAGAUUCCUACAGAAGAAAUGAUACAUUUUCUUUUCUAUUGGAUGGACAACAACAUAACCACAACAAUAGGUCUAUCAGAAGAAGCAGGAGCGAAGCAAAGGCAGGAUUCCAUGGUGAGUUUGGAGUUUACCCUCUGUUGAAAUUGGCUAUCAUGCGAGUGGCGACCUUUUCUUAGCCAUGAUUGCCACCAUAUUUGUGAGCCUUUUGGUACGUCACUCAUAGAAUAAAUAUAAUGGACUUGAGUGGUGGAUUGAGUAACUUCCGAAAUGGACCUCAUUAUCUUGGUUUCUCCUUUCACGACAUGAUGGUGUUGGAUGUGGCAUGACUUUGUGUAAGGAACUGAUGGUCUCUGAGGGCAGGGCAGACAACAUGUGCCGUCAACCGUCGACAGUUCAGCUGUCACCAAAUGAGCAGCUUGCUGCUGAAGAAACCUUCAAGUUGUACUGCAAGCCAGUUGAGCUCUGCAAUGUUAUCCAAAAACGACCCCUUGAUAAUCCUGCUUUUCUACAACUCCUUUACAUGAUACAGACAAGCUGCACAAAGAUGAUAGGUACUCGUGUGUUCUCUGGUAACCAAAGGGAUUCAACAAUUACAUAGUGAUGUUUUGUAUUGUGAAAUUCUUCCCUGUCUGACAUAGAACAAUUAAUACGAGGGCAGGGUGUCUUUUUGCUACAGAUAUUUGCUUGUCGAAGAUCUCGGGACACUCGGAUCGUUUCUUGGUGGCUGCUAAUGAAUCAUGUAAGGAUGGCGCAGAAUUCACCAGAGGAAAAAGAACGAACUACGGAGUUUCCCCAUUGUUAGAGCUCUUGGUGCUCGGACAAGCCCUCUAUCUCGAUUCUCCCUUCGCAGCUCAGCUCCACUGACCAGAUGGCGAUGGCUGACGAAGAGCUCGAUGUCCAUGACUCGUCAGGUUCCGCUGGCUCCACUAACAACCGUCUACGGGCGCUUUCACGGGAUAGCAAGCGAGUGUUUAGGAUCCCACACCGGGCAUUUCUUGACAUGCUCCUAGCACACCUUCGCUAAUCACCGGCUCAGUAUGUUUGUGUUGUACAUGACGACGGCAAGAUCUGUGUGACCAUCUUUUUCAACACCUCUACAUUGGAUCUUGGAGGACCAAUCAUUAUGAACGCGUCGUGUCGUCAUUCCUCCUGGUCUACAUUAUGCCCAAGACAUGCAAAGUUGUGGAUUGUCUGUAAGCUACCAAGUGCUUUUAAGGCACGAAGGUCGUCCACGAGGUGUCUCAAGGUGAACUCCAUGGUACCCGAUCAAGUGGCUGGAGGGAACGGUGUAUGCUCACAAGCUACGUGAUUUAGCUGUGCUUCUGACUAUAUGUGUGCUCAUGGCCUCAUGGGUUCUGAAUUCUCAUAUAGCUGUGCUGGCUAUAUUUGGGUUUCUAUAGACCAAUUUGUUUCACCCGGACAAGAAUCCCACGAACCUUAAUGUGGCCUUUAAGUUUUAGGGAAAAGCAGGUGCCCACGCAAUGGUUUCCAGUUAUAAACCAAGCUGUUUAAAAAUGAUCAGGGAUAAUACGAUCAACCCAACUGUUAGAUUUAGGAUGCUUUUUGGAAUCGACUCAUGAAGAUGAUGGCUAGCCUGCACGAACAUUUGUAUCUUCUGAAUAAAUGAUUCAGAUAGUCUACAAGAAAGGUAAAUAAUUAUAGGGAAUAUAUGUACGUUGCUCACACAAUAUCCAGUUACUGUCAGCAAACUUGCUUGGCGGCCAUGCCGCCGACAACAUGUGGAUGAAAAUGCAGCUCACCGACAGCGAUGGAGCACCGACGUGCGUGCCCCAGCGGUCUGACGCCGCCGGCUCGACCUACUUCGCUAGCAGCAUCGAGGAGGACGUGGAGCUCCUAGCCUCCCGAGCUUCCGCGGGGCUCGUUUCGGCAGGCCGCCAUGGUUGCAGUAUAGAAACCCUUACUGCCAUAUACAUGCCCUUUUUUCCUCCCCGUCACUUCCACGGAUGAAAAUUGUAACAAACUCCUCUUCAAACACGUGAACUCGGCCAUGGCUUCCGCCCUCCGAGUCCAGUUACCUUAUGUACAAUCUUACCUGCUGGCAUCAUGUACAAUCUUAUUGGCUGGAAUCAUAUAGUUAUCAGAGUAUCACUUUUUGAUUUGGAACUGUCAAGUUUUUCAGCAGCCAUUAUAUAUUUAGCUGCUCAUCUUCCCACCUGGUGUUAUAGCCCUGCACAUAUCUGAAGGAAAAUAUGGUCCAUGAGUGACCUUGUGAUGAAAAUCUUCAUCGAUGGUUCAAUGAAGAUUCAUCAAAUUUCAUUUUGUUGUUUUUCCUGUGGAGGUGAUUAUCAUUGAAAAGCAUUAUUCUUUUAAUGGAUGUUACUUGCCAUCUCGGAUGGCUCUUUAUAUUUUCAAAAUUGUUUGUAAACCAUGGAUGGGACUUCAUUGCCUGCAAAACAUGGAUUAGACUUAUUUCGGCAUAGGCAGUGCGCAAAUUCACAUGAUAUGCAUUGUACUAUUGCUUAUUCUUCAGCCAAUCAUUAAUAUAGUUCUUUUUGUAUGUGUCUCUGUAUUGACCUCAUACGCAUUUUGCCAGUAUAUAUAAAGAUAACAAUAUGCAGAUUCAGUGAUCUCUAUGUAGAAAUUUUGUAUGUUCUCUUUUAGUAAUUAUGAGGAUCAUCAAUAUUCAAUAUUAGAUGACACAUUGGUCACAACAUUCAGUAAAUGUGUUAAUCCUAAUAAAUCAUGGACGGUUGCUGAUUCUAGAUAUUGAUAGAAUGCUAAUAAAUUACACCCUUGAGCAAUAUGAGAGUAUUUAAAUUUUGAUGGACAGUCCAUGAUUCCGGCACAGUACACAAACUCUUUUAAAAUCCGGUUUGCAUUUUUUUGUACUGGAGUUAAACCUAUCCAGCGUGUUCGUGAACAUGAAGUCUGCUUCAGUAUAUAUCAAUUGGAAGUAGGAUUGUGUGGCUCUGCCUGUAUGUUUCCAUUUUGCAAACACAGUUUAUGCCUGACAUUUGUGUCUCUUUAUUUAUGCAGAACUAUUCCAGAGCUCAAGCCAUCAGGUACGCUUUAGAUACAAACUCUCGCUGAACUUAGUUUCCAUGUAGUGUUAAAUUCCGGUGAACUAUAUCUCACUCCAUGCAUGCUGCCUACCCCUUUGUCGCAAACACAAAGUUGCAUGAGACCAGACUGAUUAGGUAUACUUUGUUACUGACUGCUUGGUUCAUGGAUUAAGCAUGGACACUAGGAAAUUGGGAGUUGUAGAAGGAGGAAAGGAGAAGAGAAGAGAAAAGAAGAAAUAUGACUUAUUUCAUUGGAUUCGCGGCUGUUUGAUUCCUUUUUGCUGCAAGGAUAGAUCUCCGUGUUGACCACAUAUUCAGUAAUAGGUCAAAAGGUUAUUUUAAAUUCAAGAAAUAAUUUGGUUCAUAAUUUGGUUGUGGCACCCAAAUGAAAGCUGUAGACUUGAUCGACAUCUUUCCAAGAAUAUUAAGUAUCUGCAAUUCAGAAUAAUGAUAUUCAAGAUAUCACCAAACAUAUUUCUAUGUUGGAGGAUUUUUAAUACUAGAGGAUUUUCUGCUUUACAAGAAUUAGUGUACUUCCAGGAAGAACCAGUUUUGGCCACCACAUGAAAGUUGCAAAUGAUCUCCUUCUGAUAUUCAUACUAUUCUCAUUUGCUUGAUUUGGUGAAGUGCAUUAAAACUUACAGUAUAGGGCAGAUAUGUUUAGAAUGGUUUCAAUGUUAAGUGAAAGAAAGGAAGACAUGAUUUCAGUAUCUUGAUGAGAGCCAAAUGUAACAUGCUGAUGAAUAACAUCUUUUAUAUUGUUGGGACAUGUCUUUGGCCUCGCAUUACUUGACUCCGCGGCUGGUUUGUAGACCCGCAUCUUCUCUUCUUCUUUUAGGUUCAUCAGAGGAGCGACACUGCCUGUGGGUCGUGGACAAAGCGGCUGCUACUUCCAGCUUCGAUUUUUUGCUGAUCAGUUCCCAGUGAUGGGAUUAUGGUGUUUUGUCUGACUUCUCCUGAAAUGAUUUUUGUUUUUGUUUUUGGUAUCGAUGGUAAAUUUAGGAUAACAGGGACAAUGUUACUGCCAUACCGGCAGGUGUUGGACAUGAUUCUCAAAGAAGAUACAGAUGUGCAUGCUUCAC
This is a long non-coding RNA of Triticum dicoccoides, 4580 nucleotides long. RefSeq lists it as uncharacterized. The transcript is spliced from 14 exons. The record is from RefSeq and is a predicted model, not a curated record. NCBI's taxonomy places the organism in Eukaryota, Viridiplantae, Streptophyta, Magnoliopsida, Poales, Poaceae.